RNAcentral lists this ribosomal RNA (301 nucleotides) under uncultured bacterium. RNAcentral's name for it is "partial 16S ribosomal RNA". It matches the Rfam family "Bacterial small subunit ribosomal RNA", at positions 509 to 807 of the family's 1533-position model. The record is from RNAcentral.
CAGUAGCCGCGGUAAUACGUAGGGGGCUAGCGUUGCUCGGAAUGACUGGGCGUAAAGGGCGCGUAGGCGGCGGCCAAAGUCAGGCGUGAAAUUCCCGGGCUCAACCUGGGGACUGCGCUUAAUACAGGCGGUCUAGAGUGAGGAAGAGGGUUGUGGAAUUCCCAGUGUAGAGGUGAAAUUCGUAGAUAUUGGGAAGAACACCGGUGGCGAAGGCGGCAACCUGGUCCUUGACUGACGCUGAGGCGCGAAAGCGUGGGGAGCAAACAGGAUUAGAUACCCCAGUAGUCCCUGUCUCUUAUAC